This 1057-nucleotide long non-coding RNA is filed under the name Piliocolobus tephrosceles (Ugandan red Colobus). RNAcentral's name for it is "lncRNA (ENSPTEG00000000285.1)". The record is from RNAcentral. Lineage: Eukaryota; Metazoa; Chordata; Mammalia; Primates; Cercopithecidae.
AAAAAAACAUUAAAUGUUGGUAAAAAGCAGUGCAAGAAUAGCACUCGCAUAAACACAAAUGCAUUUACAUAUACGCGUCCCUUUUUUACUUUCUUAACAUUUAAAUAUAAAAAAAAAAAACAUUCACAUAAUAAACGUUUAAAUCAACAAAAAUAAAGUAAAUCAAUUUUAAAGUAAUUUUAAGUUUUAAAGUAAAUCAAUUUUAAAGUAAAUCAAUUUUAAAGUGAAUCAAUUUUAAAGUAAAUCAAUUUUAAAGUAAUUUAAUCUAAACAAACACAAUAAAAAUAUGUAAAUAAAGUAUGUAAGUAAAGCAUAAGCAAAAAAAGAAACGAAAAAAAAAAAAAAAAAAAACAAAAAAAAACAAAAAAAAACAAAAAAAAAGAACAAAAACAAAUGGUUAACACGUGUCCUUUUAAGCAGCUUGUUUUUUUUUUUUUUUUUAUUAAUUUUUUUAUUAAUUUUUUUAUUAAUUUUUUUAUUAAUUUGUGGAUUCAUAUGUUUAUUAUUAAUUUCGUUUACUGUUUUUAUUACCGAUAUAUUAUUUCCGUUAUGUUCGUUUUUUUUUAAUGUUUUUAAGUUCUUUUCAUUAGUUGGUAAAGGAUGGGAAGUAACUAAUUCAUCUGUUAGAUGAUAUUUUUUUAUUCCUUCCAUGUCGUUAGCUUUUAUCACUUCUAUAUGUUCAACUUUAAUCACAUUCUCUUUUUGCAAAGUGAAUAAUUUAUCUUUUACAUCAUUUACAUUUUUUACAUCAUUUACAUCAUUUACAUCUUUUACAUCUUUUACAUCUUUUACAUCUUUUACAUCUUUUACAUCAUUUACAUUUUUUACAUCAUUUACAUUUUUUACAUCUUUUACAUCAUUUACAUUUUUUACAUCAUUUACAUCUUUUACAUCAUUUACAUUUUUUACAUUUUUUACAACUUUUACAAACUCAGGAAACUGUUCAUGUAAAAAAUCACCUAAAGUGUUUAUAUGAACACUUGUUAUAGCAUUAGAUUUAUUGUUUUCAUAUUUUAUUUUAAAUAAAGGAUAUUUUGUUUGUAUUUUAUUAUAUGGU